AUUCACCUGACGUGUCCCGAAUAGGACGAAACACAUGUCUUGGAU
Molecule: non-coding RNA, 45 nt
Filed under: Schistosoma margrebowiei
Lineage: Eukaryota; Metazoa; Platyhelminthes; Trematoda; Strigeidida; Schistosomatidae
Source: RNAcentral